CCGUGCUGGCCGAACGUCAGCACAACCGUAGGCGCAUCUUUUCUGACCCAGACGGUCCUGGAGCAAAACGAGCUACAUCCGUCCUGACCUGGGACACAGCUGGGCAGGAGCGAGCUCGUGUCCUAGCUCCGAUGUGCUACCGAGGGUCAGCUGCGACCGUCGUGAUCCGUGACCCGUCGGAUAUCACGAAAGAAGAGACGUUUUCGACACGAACAGUCGGGCCAAACAGCGUGCCUGCAAGGCUAGCCAGGGUCUAAGGGGAAGUUGCAAAAACAUUUCAAAGGGAACUUUACAGGAUUGACAAAAAGGUGAAUGUAGAUUAUAUCCAUGGACAAAUGCUGCACCAUUCAGGGGACAAUUGCUCAGGAAUUUCAAUGCGUUGUCUUACACUAGAUGAGAUAACUGAAGUAUAAAGUGUUUAAUCACUUUCCAAGAGCACAUACCUGGAAAACAAUGUGUCAAAAAUUCACCAGUUACCCUUCCUGUUCCCCUCCCACUCCUGAGUGGCAUGCACUUGUGUGAUGCGUCAAGAUCCAAGCAGCGUGUGUCCACUGGCUUCAACAACAAGAAACUCACUGUCACACAGAAGACCCAAGGUUGGAAUGUCUAGAGCUGUCGCAGCUAUUUCAAAACCAAGAGACACAGGAGAAAAGGACUGAAGUGACAGCAGCCUUGACGUCACUGAUCCUCUAAACCAUCACUAGUAGUUGCUCAUAUUCAGACUGGGAGAGGAAAAAUGAUGCUUUGCUUGUCACAAACAAAUGUAUUCUGAU
Molecule: long non-coding RNA, 773 nt
Organism: Tupaia belangeri chinensis (Chinese tree shrew)
Lineage: Eukaryota; Metazoa; Chordata; Mammalia; Scandentia; Tupaiidae
Exons: 6
Source: RefSeq, a predicted model, not a curated record